AACCUAGCACACCUGCGGUGUGUACCUGCGGAGGGAUCAUUACCUAGAGUUGUAGGCUUUGCCUGCUAUCUCUUACCCAUGUCUUUUGGGUACCUUACGUUUCCUCGGUGGGCUCGCCCACCGAUUGGACAAAUUUAAACCCUUUGCAGUUGAAAUCAGCGUCUGAAAAAACUUAAUAGUUACAACUUUCAGCAACGGAUCU
Molecule: unclassified non-coding RNA, 202 nt
Filed under: soil metagenome
Description: partial contains 5.8S ribosomal RNA, internal transcribed spacer 2, and large subunit ribosomal RNA
Source: RNAcentral